GGAUAGCUCAGUUGGUUAGAGUGUGGUGCUGAUAACACCAAGAUUGCAGGUUUCAUCCCUGUAUGCGACA
Non-coding RNA from Podarcis lilfordi (Lilford's wall lizard), 70 nucleotides. The record is from the annotation of a GenBank genome assembly. Lineage: Eukaryota; Metazoa; Chordata; Lepidosauria; Squamata; Lacertidae.